This 424-nucleotide long non-coding RNA is filed under the name Mus musculus (house mouse). Its description in RNAcentral is "long non-coding RNA chr5:144187773-144188197". Lineage: Eukaryota; Metazoa; Chordata; Mammalia; Rodentia; Muridae. The record is from RNAcentral.
AAGAAGCAAACGGGGGCACCAGUCUUGGCUUUUAGGAAGCUCUGUUUAACUUACACAUAAGUUCUUAAGAUGUGUUGGCAGUAUUGCGUCACCCACGGCCGUCCCGGGGGCUGAACGUGUGGCGUUUGGUUACUGAAGCCUGCUCAGGCGAAGCUGGGUCUUGUGCAUGUUCCCACUGUUUCAUCCUGUCCUCGCCAGGGAUCUGGGUGGGACAGUCACACCCACGGCCUGCUACCCACCAGGUUGUACUUAACGCAAUCAGAAGGGGUUCAUGGCAAUAUAACAGUUAAUGAACUUGGAGUUUAAAUUGUGUACAUUUUUAAAUUGUAAGAUUUUUACUGUAUAUUGAAGCUUAGUGUGAUUCAAUAAAUUGCUUGUAAUUUAAAAACUAUUUAAUAUUCAAAAUAAAUAUAGUUAUAUAUUU